RNAcentral lists this ribosomal RNA (940 nucleotides) under uncultured prokaryote. RNAcentral describes it as "bacterial SSU rRNA". It matches the Rfam family "Bacterial small subunit ribosomal RNA", at positions 40 to 980 of the family's 1533-position model. The record is from RNAcentral.
CGGGGGCAUCAUGCAGUCGAGCGGAUCUCUUCGGAGGUCAGCGGCGGACGGGUGAGUAACACGUGGGCAACCUGCCUGUAAGACUGGGAUAACUCCGGGAAACCGGAGCUAAUACCGGAUACUAUGUCAAACCGCAUGGUUUGACAUUCAAAGACGGUUUCGGCUGUCACUUACAGAUGGGCCCGCGGCGCAUUAGCUAGUUGGUGAGGUAAUGGCUCACCAAGGCGACGAUGCGUAGCCGACCUGAGAGGGUGAUCGGCCACACUGGGACUGAGACACGGCCCAGACUCCUACGGGAGGCAGCAGUAGGGAAUCUUCCGCAAUGGACGAAAGUCUGACGGAGCAACGCCGCGUGAGUGAUGAAGGUUUUCGGAUCGUAAAACUCUGUUGUCAGGGAAGAACAAGUGCCGGAGUAACUGCCGGCACCUUGACGGUACCUGACCAGAAAGCCACGGCUAACUACGUGCCAGCAGCCGCGGUAAUACGUAGGUGGCAAGCGUUGUCCGGAAUUAUUGGGCGUAAAGCGCGCGCAGGCGGUUUCUUAAGUCUGAUGUGAAAGCCCCCGGCUCAACCGGGGAGGGUCAUUGGAAACUGGGAAACUUGAGUGCAGAAGAGGAGAGUGGAAUUCCACGUGUAGCGGUGAAAUGCGUAGAGAUGUGGAGGAACACCAGUGGCGAAGGCGACUCUCUGGUCUGUAACUGACGCUGAGGCGCGAAAGCGUGGGGAGCGAACAGGAUUAGAUACCCUGGUAGUCCACGCCGUAAACGAUGAGUGCUAAGUGUUAGAGGGUUUCCGCCCUUUAGUGCUGCAGCUAACGCAUUAAGCACUCCGCCUGGGGAGUACGGUCGCAAGACUGAAACUCAAAGGAAUUGACGGGGGCCCGCACAAGCGGUGGAGCAUGUGGUUUAAUUCGAAGCAACGCGAAGAACCUUACCAGGUC